Molecule: ribosomal RNA, 252 nt
Filed under: uncultured bacterium
Lineage: Bacteria
Description: partial 16S ribosomal RNA
Rfam family: Bacterial small subunit ribosomal RNA
Source: RNAcentral
ACGGAGGGGGCAAGCGUUAUUCGGAUUUACUGGGCGUAAAGCGCACGUAGGCGGCCAGGCGUGUCGACGGUGAAAGCCCUCGGCUCAACCGAGGAACUGCCUUCGAAACUGCCUGGCUUGAGUCCGGGAGGGGGGAGCGGAAUUCCCAGUGUAGCGGUGAAAUGCGUAGAUACUGGGAGGAACACCGGUGGCGAAGGCGGCUCCCUGGACCGGUACUGACGCUGAGGUGCGAAAGCGUGGGUAGCAAACAGG